GUUAAAGACCAAAUUGAAUAAUGGUCCAGAAUUAAUGGCUAAAUACAACUCUUUUAGGCACCUACCUGAGAAAUACUGCGUGGCUUGAAAGACUCAUCCUAGAUCUAGGAGUGGGGUUCUGGCAGGUGUGUUGCUUUUGGAUGAUGAAUAUCAAUCAAGUGCUGUGUGAGGUAAGCUGUUACUUGGUGUGCAGUUCUUUCUCCAGGUAGCUUGUUUGCUUUAUUCACAACUCCUAUCAGCCCAGCCUGUAGCCUAUGUUAGAACAGAAACUAAAUAUCACUACUUUAACAUCCGUAUAUUAAAAGCACUUUGUGUUAGCAGUGAUAGACAGCAAUACUUGUUUCAGCUGGUGUUGAAUGCUGCAGGGCAUUCAUGAUUGAAGAUGAACCAACUGUGGUUGAUGUUGGGUGCUCCCUGGAGCCUUGUGCUCCUAGUGGAGAUGUCAGUACUGAUGGCUCAGGCAGUUGCAGCAUCUGAUCAACUGCCCUGUGGUAAAACUGCAGGAGGAAGGAAUGUCAGGAGGUGGUCUUGGAUGUUACUGCUAAAGCUGUGGAGCUUCUCACAAAGGGAUGAUCUGUGUGUUAUCAGAUGUUAUCAGACCUUCCGGAGCGUCUAGGAAAUAGGGUAGAAGAAAAACUUGAGGGUUACUUUUUAACAGGGGGAGCCAAGAGGUACAGCUACACCAGUAAUGAAAAUAAGCAUGUUUCCUUGUAAGAUCAAACUGGGGCAUCUGCUUUCAGCUUUUGUUGCAGUAAAGCUACUGGAGUAGAUGAUGUGUCAACUCAACACAGUGUAUAUUGUUCUUAAAACAGUAUCUGAUAGUCAUACUGAGCUUGCUGUGCCUGUUACCGUAGCCCAAAUCAUACCUGUCUCUUAAAAACAGGAGGCCCAGUAAUGGAUGGUGACAGUUAUGGAGUAAGUAUAUAGUUGACUGAGAAAUACCUUUACUUCUGUGUGCUCUUCAAAUACUGUUUCAAAAACAGUGAAAAAUAAGAGGGAAGCAGAUGCAUUCUGUUUCAGCACGUGUUCAGUUUUUGUCUGGUGCUGUAGACAAAAACCUGGAACCUGGUGCUUAGAAAAACACCUUCUUUCGCAACCCACAGCUGAUGCAUGUAUUGGCUGUGUUACUUAUAUGAAGGGACAGUGCUUAUAUUUAUUCAAGCAGUAAUUAAUUCAAAGGGCACAUUUCCUAUUGCAUGUGCAGAAAUGUAGGAAGGAAACAAUGCAACUGGA
Molecule: long non-coding RNA, 1233 nt
Filed under: Gallus gallus (chicken)
Lineage: Eukaryota; Metazoa; Chordata; Aves; Galliformes; Phasianidae
Description: lncRNA (ENSGALG00010009364.1)
Rfam family: Small nucleolar RNA SNORA40 (bases 1019-1145)
Source: RNAcentral